AGGAUUGGAACCCAGAGUUCAUGAAGAGAC
Molecule: non-coding RNA, 30 nt
Filed under: Cricetulus griseus (Chinese hamster)
Lineage: Eukaryota; Metazoa; Chordata; Mammalia; Rodentia; Cricetidae
Source: RNAcentral